UACGUAGGGGGCAAGCGUUAUCCGGAUUUAUUGGGCGUAAAGAGCUCGUAGGCGGCCGUUCGCGUCGGAUGUGAAAGCUCAGGGCUCAACCCUGAGACGCCAUUCGAUACGGGACGGCUAGAGGUAGGUAGGGGAAAGUGGAAUUCCUGGUGUAGCGGUGAAAUGCGCAGAUAUCAGGAGGAACACCGGUUGCGAAGGCGGCUUUCUGGGCCUUACCUGACGCUGAGGAGCGAAAGCUGGGGGAGCGAACAGG
RNAcentral lists this ribosomal RNA (253 nucleotides) under uncultured bacterium. Its description in RNAcentral is "partial 16S ribosomal RNA". It matches the Rfam family "Bacterial small subunit ribosomal RNA", at positions 524 to 776 of the family's 1533-position model. The record is from RNAcentral.